GAUGAACGCUAGCGGCAGGCCUAAUACAUGCAAGUCGAACGGUAACAUGAGUAGCAAUACUUGAUGACGAGUGGCGCACGGGUGCGUAACGCGUAUGCAAUCUACCUUUAACCGGUGAAUAGCCCGAAGAAAUUCGGAUUAAUACACCAUAGUAUAAUGAGCUGGCAUCAGUUUAUUAUUAAAGCUCCGGCAGUUAAAGAUGAGCAUGCGUGACAUUAGCUAGUUGGUGAGGUAACGGCUCACCAAGGCGACGAUGUCUAGGGGAUCUGAGAGGAUUAACCCCCACACUGGUACUGGGCCACGAACCAGACUCCUACGGGAGGCAGCAGUAAGGAAUAUUGGACAAUGGUGGCAACACUGAUCCAGCCAUGCCGCGUGCAGGAUGACUGCCCUAUGGGUUGUAAACUGCUUUUGUACGGGAAAAAACCUCUUUACGUGUAAAGAGCUGAUUGUACUGUAAGAAUAAGGAUCGGCUAACUCCGUGCCAGCAGCCGCCGUAA
RNAcentral lists this ribosomal RNA (500 nucleotides) under uncultured bacterium. RNAcentral describes it as "partial 16S ribosomal RNA". It matches the Rfam family "Bacterial small subunit ribosomal RNA", at positions 28 to 523 of the family's 1533-position model. The record is from RNAcentral.